Molecule: non-coding RNA, 955 nt
Filed under: Galegeeska revoilii (Somali elephant shrew)
Lineage: Eukaryota; Metazoa; Chordata; Mammalia; Macroscelidea; Macroscelididae
Description: 12S ribosomal RNA
Rfam family: Bacterial small subunit ribosomal RNA
Source: RNAcentral
AAAGGUUUGGUCCUGGCCUUAUUAUUAGUUAUUAGUAAGCUUAUACAUGCAAGUAUCCGCCAACCUGUGAAAAUGCCCUUUUACUCGCUCACCUCGAACGAUCCCGAAGGAGCUGGUAUCAAGCACACCCUACGUAGCUCAAAACACCUUGCUCAGCCACACCCCCACGGGAUACAGCAGUAAUAAAAAUUAAGCAAUGAACGAAAGUUUGACUAAGCUAUACUAAAAAGAGUUGGUUAAUCUCGUGCCAGCCACCGCGGUCAUACGAUUGACUCAAAUUAAUAAGACCCGGCGUAAAGUGUGGUUAAAACAAGGUAUUACAAUAAAGUUAAAUCACACCUUAGCUGUAAAAAGCCAAAGGUUUGUAAUAAAUAAACUACUAAAGUAACUUUACUAUACACAUGAACCCACGAUAGCUAAGACACAAACUGGGAUUAGAUACCCCACUAUGCUUAGCCCUAAACCACGAUGUUUAGUAACAAAAACAUCCGCCAGAGAACUACAAGCCACAGCUUAAAACUCAAAGGACUUGGCGGUGCUUUAUACCCCCUAGAGGAGCCUGUUACAUAAUCGAUAAACCCCGAUAAACCACACCAUCACUCGCUAAAUCAGUCUAUAUACCGCCAUCUUCAGCAAACCCUUAAAAGGACCAAUAGUAAGCAUAAACGUAAGCACAAAAACGUUAGGUCAAGGUGUAACCUAUGUGAUGGGACAUAAUGGGCUACAUUUUCUUAUAAGAACAAUAACGGACUUCUACCUGAAAAACUAGAACAAAGGAGGAUUUAGCAGUAAAUCAGGAAUAGAGAGCCUGAUUGAACCAGGCCAUGAAGCACGCACACACCGCCCGUCACCCUCCUCAAAUACCAAUUAACUUAAACCCUAUUUUAUUAAUACAAGUAUGAGAGGAGACAAGUCGUAACAAGGUAAGCAUACUGGAAAGUGUGCUUGGAUUAUU